GAUUAGAGUUUGAUCCUGGCUCAGAUUGAACGCUGGCGGCAGGCCUAACACAUGCAAGUCGAGCGGUAACAUUUCAAAAGCUUGCUUUUGAAGAUGACGAGCGGCGGACGGGUGAGUAAUGCCUGGGAAUUUGCCCAUUUGUGGGGGAUAACAGUUGGAAACGACUGCUAAUACCGCAUACGCCCUACGGGGGAAAGCAGGGGACCUUCGGGCCUUGCGCUGAUGGAUAAGCCCAGGUGGGAUUAGCUAGUAGGUGAGGUAAAGGCUCACCUAGGCGACGAUCCCUAGCUGGUCUGAGAGGAUGAUCAGCCACGCUGGGACUGAGACACGGCCCAGACUCCUACGGGAGGCAGCAGUGGGGAAUAUUGCACAAUGGGGGAAACCCUGAUGCAGCCAUGCCGCGUGUGUGAAGAAGGCCUUCGGGUUGUAAAGCACUUUCAGCGAGGAGGAAAGGGUGUAAGUUAAUACCUUACAUCUGUGACGUUACUCGCAGAAGAAGCACCGGCUAACUCCGUGCCAGCAGCCGCGGUAAUACGGAGGGUGCGAGCGUUAAUCGGAAUUACUGGGCGUAAAGCGUGCGCAGGCGGUUUGUUAAGCGAGAUGUGAAAGCCCCGGGCUCAACCUGGGAACCGCAUUUCGAACUGGCAAACUAGAGCUUGUAGAGGGGGGGGUAGAAUUCCAGGUGUAGCGGUGAAUGCGUAGAGAUCUGGAGGAAUACCGGUGGCGAAGGCGGCCCCCUGGACAAAGACUGACGCUCAGGCACGAAAGCGUGGGGAGCAAACAGGAUUAGAUACCCUGGUAGUCCACGCCGUAAACGAUGCUACUCGGGGAGUUUGGUUGUCUUUGAACACUGGGCUCUCAAGCUAACGCAUUAAGUAGACCGCCUGGGGGAGUACGGCCGCAAGGUUAAAACUCAAAUGAAUUGACGGGGGCCCGCACAAGCGGUGGAGGCCAGUGUGGUUUAAUUCGAUGCAACGCGAGAUCUUACUACUCUGACAUCACAGACUUUCAGAGAUGAUGGUGCCUUCGGGAACUGUGAGACAGUGCUGCAUG
RNAcentral lists this ribosomal RNA (1053 nucleotides) under Shewanella sp. AM8. RNAcentral describes it as "bacterial SSU rRNA". It matches the Rfam family "Bacterial small subunit ribosomal RNA", at positions 1 to 1047 of the family's 1533-position model. Lineage: Bacteria; Pseudomonadati; Pseudomonadota; Gammaproteobacteria; Alteromonadales; Shewanellaceae. The record is from RNAcentral.